CCCAGUUCGAAUUGUAGUCUGCAACCCGACUACAUGAAGCCGGAAUCGCUAGUAAUCGCGGAUCAGAAUGCCGCGGUGAAUACGUUCCCGGGUCUUGUACACACCGCCCGUCACACCAUGGGAGUCGGAAAUGCCCGAAGUCGGUGACCCAACCGCAAGGAGGGAGCCGCCGAAGGCAGGUCCGGUAACUGGGGUGAAGUCGUAACAAGGUACC
This 214-nucleotide ribosomal RNA is filed under the name uncultured bacterium. RNAcentral describes it as "partial 16S ribosomal RNA". It matches the Rfam family "Bacterial small subunit ribosomal RNA", at positions 1287 to 1500 of the family's 1533-position model. The record is from RNAcentral.